UAUAAACGCUGUCAUGCUACCUUUGUCUAUUUACUAGCAAGUGUUGGUUUGGAAGUACUCGCCAUACUUUCAUUGACAUUUAAAUUAAGCAUGGUGCUUAGGUUAAAUAGCCUUCCUUAAUCUGAUUAGACAUGGAGUCUAGUUUGGUUAUUGAACUAAAAAAAACUGCUUGAGUAGAUAUUGGUAUAUUUUGUCGGACUAACCCCUGCAGAAAAACUUUCAAUAUCGAUUUGGGAAGUCCUGAGAUAAACUCACAUCUGAGACGAAGAGAGUGACACAUGAAGUUUAACAAUUUGCACAAGAAGGACAUAACUCACUCAUCAUAGAGAGAUGAUCCAUGGAGGGUGCCACAAACACGAUGCACAACCGCUAAGAAAGGAAAGCUUCCACAAGAUGAUACUGUACCAUCACUCUUCGAGCAAGGUAACAUCUUAAGGUACUUGACUAUCACUUUUAUAAGCUUCUCCUUGGUUCUGGCGUUCAUAUAAAUAAAAGAGACAAACGUGUAUGAUUUACAACUCUAGAUUAACCAACCCAACUGAUUCAACAUGUUUAGUCCUUUAAUCCUUGUUCUUAGUACUACCUCCAUGAUCCCACACUCCUAAUCAUAUGAGCUAAAAUGUUACACAUUCAAUCAUAGAGAUAUAAAGAAAAAGACAUAUACAUAGAUAGAUUAUCUUUCCAUAAGGUUGAGCGAUCUGAUCUGACAAAUGUUAUAAGUGCUACACUCAUGAACUUAUCAUCCAUCAACUUGUCUUGCUCACUAUGCUUAAGGUUAGAGAAGAACAAAUACACUUUUGGUUUUGUUGGUGUUUUCCACCAACAGGGCCCAUGCACUUGAUCUCUGCCUUGUCUCUAUGAGCAGGUAUACUACGAGCACAAACACACUGAGCAGGAUACUGCCAACACCGCACUUCGAACUGCUGGGCAAAUAAAGAACAUGGGUGACACCGUAUUAAAAGGUGCAGACGUCAAGGUCCGCACCUGAAUCAAAUGACGCACCUGAAGAAUGAACACGGUAAGAAGUCUUGUCAAGAAGACUUAAAACAUUGAACCCUCGCCGAAAGGUAAGAUUGGUAGUUAUCCAUAUUUAUACUUUCUGCAUUCUCUUUUUCCUUUAAUUAUUUACUUUCCUUAAAUAGAUUAUUAGUUAAUCAUGCUAUCUUGAAAAGAAAAUAAAAAUGUUAAAAAAUACUAAGCCCCAUGUGAGUAUACGAGUGGCAUAAAACCCAUAAGUACCUUCACUGUGGUGGCAUAAAAAUAAAAUAAAUAUUUCUUUUCUACUUUAUAAAAUAAAAAUAUAAAAACAGAGAGUAAUAUUUAUUGAGGAAGCUCAACAUGAUGAAGGCUAGAUAUUUAUGCUAACACUUAAUUAGUUCCAUAAGCUUUGUUGUCUAUUUGAGCUCCAUAGAAUUUAAGAAUCAAGAAGACUAGCAGACGGAGGACAUUCUAAUCGCUGUCGGAAUACUGCUGACUUUCAAAUACACCUCUGCUACCUGCUAGCUACAUCAAGAGAAAUUACGUCAAAAUUCAGCUUGGGGGAGAGCACCCCCAUUUAUCUCGCUAAGUAUUUCUACCUAUCUUUAUACUUAUAUUAUAUUAGAAUAUUAAAAUACAUAAACUAUGAAAAAACCAAAUAAAGAUUUUAUGCUUAUAUAUAUAUCUUUUCUUAGUUUGCUAAAUAAAUAAAUAAAUAAAUAAAUAAAUAAAGUUUGUUAUGAAUCUUAAUAAUAAAACUCUAGCAUGGAUAUGAUGAAUAGUUGCUCUGCCUAAUUUGCAAAUUUGAAGUUCUCUCUCAAGUUUAGACAUAACUGUUAUAAUUUAAAGCUUGCUCUAGAUCUAAACUUGUGGGAUGAAAACUUGAUCUGAAAUCUAAGUUGUUAACGGAUAUGAUAUGGGAAGGUUGAGCUGCUGUUUAUCUGUUCCUAGAGAUGCUAGAAUUCUGGAGAAUUUUAUCUUUGAAAAAUCUUUAAAAUAUUGCAUGAUGAGUUCCUGUAUGAUGAAAGUUUAAAUUCCUACCACAGCCAUAUAUACAUGCUUGCUAGAUUUUGAGCCACACAUUUAUUAUUUACUGCUUAUGAGCAUUGAGUGUAGUCAAGCUGUGUAGACCCUUAGGAGCUUGUCAUGUGGUUAAAUCAAGAUUCACUUGCACGUUCACUCAUAUAUGCUACUUCUACUCCGGAAGUACAAUCCACAUAUAUCCAUCCAUUUCCAUCUCCAGUUUCACCCAAAAUCAUUCUACUCCUAAUCCGGAGAGAAUAGCCAAAAACAUUUUCUUAUCCCUGUUAUUCCCUGUGAAAUAAAUGCUCCAGUUAUUUUGGUUACUACCACUUGCUACAUUAUUUCAGGAGAUGAGUGCUCUAAAAAAAAAGGAAAAAAAAAGAGAAAAGAGAAGAAAAGAAAAAUAAUAAUAAUAAACGAGGAAAUAAAAAGGGGCAAGUGCCCGGAACCUCGAAAGAAAAGAAAAAGAGUGAGACGAGAGGUAAAAAUGGACAAGUGUCCGACAGUAGAAUUAGGGGUACAGGAUAUCCAUCUAAGAGAAAAGAAAAAGAAGAGCAUCUCAUUCUCCUCAUAAAGUUUCAAAAAGCAAGGAAGGUAUGUAUCCCCUCAUAAGAGCAAAAGUAGAAUUAGACUUUCGCCAUUGUUAUCACCAUCAUCACUAUACACCAUUCAUUCACCACACAUGCACAUCUUGAUUUGGCUUAUUGAUUUGUUUCUUUGGAUCCAUGGUUUGACUAUACAAUAAAUGUUUUGUAAGUAUGUAUACUUUAUCUCCCACCUAUGAGCUCCAGAUAUUAAAGCCUUAUUAGAGUAGGGUGAGAGAGGAGACAAUGUCACUAUGCCUUAUACCACAAAUACCACAUAUCUUGAGAGAAGGCAUAUACCAUCACUGCCUUGGUAAGGAUCCAGAAAUACCACAAAAGAGAGAUUUAUAGAGUCAUACAAGGAAUCUCUGAGUUUUAUUUGAAAAUCUGCAAAAACUCCAGAGCUAUAGCUGAUCAAGAAUAAGAGACAUGGCACUUGACUGGACUGUUCUAUCUUUUAACCACUCAAGACAGAAGUGACGGUUACAAGUCCCAUGGUGAAAGGUAAAGUAAGUAAGUUUUAAGUCUUGACAGUUUACUCUAACUCAGAGAUGAGACCUCAUUUAAAAGCAUGUGUAUCGUCAAUUUUUAAAGAUACUGCAACAACUUAUGAUCCAUAGCUGAGUCUCCUUGCUCAGGGACGAGCAAGAGGUAAGCUUGGGGGAGUUUGUUGACGGUCCUUAAGUAUCAAAUUUAACUAUCAAAUAAACAAAGAAAAGGAUCCAAAUGAAAUCAACAUCGAGACUUAGGGUUUUAUCUGACAGAAUUCCACGAGUUUUGGUGUUUGUCUAUUUCUGCAGGGGGUUAUCAGGAAAUAAGGAAGAAAGGCCCACACGUCGGGAUUACAUAGAGAUAUCAACGUGCCGUGCAAUUAUCUUACAUCUAGAAGACUCCAGAAGCCACGGGAAGGAAGCGGAGACCGAACGGAGUCAGGGACAGGGCGCCCGCCCAAGUCCUUAGGGCGCCCGCCCACCUUUUUCGGCCAAUCACGCUCAAUCUCGCGGAUUAUGCUCCACUGACCUAAAGGAUCAAGAAUAACCGUUCAAUCAUUGUCGGUUUGAUCUGACGGCCCAGGUUCACUUGAGGGGACUAUAAAACCAGACCCCCUGGCCCCUGGAGGAGGCACCCCUUGAUCAUUAUUCAUUAUUCAUAGACAGAGCAAAAGCUAGGGUUUAGAGAUGAGAGCUCUCCUCUCUUCUCUAAACUAGAGUAGAUCUAGAUAGUAGCGAGAUGGAGAGCGAAGGAGGAUUAGAGGAGAGGCCGGCCUGUCGGUUCUUCCUCCGGU
RNAcentral lists this long non-coding RNA (3870 nucleotides) under Sorghum bicolor (sorghum). RNAcentral's name for it is "long non-coding RNA (SBIC_LNC004377)". The record is from RNAcentral. Lineage: Eukaryota; Viridiplantae; Streptophyta; Magnoliopsida; Poales; Poaceae.